This 301-nucleotide ribosomal RNA is filed under the name uncultured bacterium. RNAcentral's name for it is "partial 16S ribosomal RNA". It matches the Rfam family "Bacterial small subunit ribosomal RNA", at positions 509 to 807 of the family's 1533-position model. The record is from RNAcentral.
CAGUAGCCGCGGGAAUACAGAGGGUGCAAGCGUUAAUCGGAAUUACUGGGCGUAAAGCGCGCGUAGGUGGUUUGUUAAGUUGGAUGUGAAAUCCCCGGGCUCAACCUGGGAACUGCAUCCAAAACUGGCAAGCUAGAGUAUGGUAGAGGGUGGUGGAAUUUCCUGUGUAGCGGUGAAAUGCGUAGAUAUAGGAAGGAACACCAGUGGCGAAGGCGACCACCUGGACUGAUACUGACACUGAGGCACGAAAGCGUGGGGAGCAAACAGGAUUAGAUACCCCCGUAGUCCCUGUCUCUUAUAC